GGUAUGUAAAAUCUUGAAUUGCAGGUUUUUGUUUUUCCAAAUAAAUUGAAACUCUCACAGUGAGAUUCAUAUUCAUGUUACUGAUUAGGAAAUGGAGUUCAUUUUUUCAUUCAUUUCUUAUUACUAACAUUUUCUUUUUUCUUCAAAAACAGGUGGAGUUGGCAUAGCAAAUAUGGUAGAGAAGAUUGAGAAUCAUCAGUACAUGGGAUUUGAGAACCUCUGUACCUAUGAAUCCUAGGCUUGCUUUUAUUUAACCAUUAUUUUUCUUUACAUUCAAAUUUCUCAUAUGUCAAUUUGUGAAUCCCAGGAUGUUGGCCAAUCAAUGCAAACUAUCCUGGUGUGAAUAAUGGUUAGCUUGUGCCAAAUUUUUAUGUUUCACAUGUACACCACUCAUGGCCUGAGCUUUGGAUAUUUUAUCACUAGAAAUUUAAUCUGUUGUAGUUCGCAAAUGCAUAAAUUCAUUAUUGUAUUUGGCAAAAUAAAAUCUUAUCACCUCUACAAUUUUUAUAUUGACCUAUUAAAUACUCCAAUCUAUAAAAUUGUAUUUAUUGAAUGCUUUAAUUUGUAAAUUUUUUUUAUUAAACACUUUAAUUUUUAAAUUUAAAUUAAUUAAGUAUUUAUUAAAUAGUUAAAAAAAAUAAAAAUUAUUAUUUUAAAAAUUAUGCUAAUUACAUAUUAAAUUAAUAUUUCACUUAUAAAAACCAAAAAUAUCAAAAAAUUAUUGUUGUUAAUAUAAAAAAGUGUAUAAUGUUAUCAAAAUUCUGGUUCUAUGAUUUAAAUGUGGUGACACAAAAUUUUGUUGUGUAAAGUACAAAAGUGAAUUUUGCAUUUGGCUACAUAAACAAGAUAAAAGAUUAUCUUUUUAGUAAGUUCUCUCCUAAACAAAAGGAUAAAUUAAAAGAUACUUGCUUCGUCUCAUGAUUAGAAGCUCACUUUUCGACUCAAAAUGCAAUCCUAUUUCUAUUUUAAAAAUUAUUUAUUAUUUAAUUUUUUAAUAUACUCAUAUUUAAUAUAUAUCUACAUUCCUAAUUGUAUAUACUACAAUUAUUAACAGAUGAGUAUUAAGAAAAAAAAAAUGAAACAAAAUAUAGCUAAAUUAAUUUAGUCUAUGUGAAAAUCAAAUUAAGCAUAUAUACACACACACAGGACGUGAAAAAUCAAAUCAAGCCUAUAUAUAUAUAUAUAUAUAUAUAUAGGCACGUGCGGGAUGGAGAGAGUACCUCGUAAAGCAAUCCACCUGCCUGUGCUAUGACCAGUAUAUCCGUUGCCGACCAUAUAAUUCUUAACGUCGACUUUUGGGUGAACGUUUACAUCAAGGAACAACAGAAUGUUAACUAGAUGACAAAUUCCUUCCAUGAAAGGCAAAAAUUAUAACAGCCAAUGUUGUCAAUGUGUUAUCCAAGAUAGUGGAAUUGGCCAAUGAUAAAAGCCACCAAGGCAUAAAAACAUAGCCCAUCUCCUUUUUUUUUUCUCUUUUUUCAUGACAGUCUGUAGUAUGAUUAGUAUUAUAUAAAUAUAUAAAAAAAAUACAGGGACCUAAAAGAAUUGUCUUUUAGACUGUAGAACUACCAGGUUUGCUUUCAUGAUGUGACUUUGAAACAAUGUCUGAACAAAUGCAAACAAAUUUAAUGCCUUGAUAGACUGUAACAUUUCUUCCAGGAUUUCAUGGAGAAACUCGUCCAGCUUCUUCGUCUCUCUUCUUUAUGUAGCUAAAUUCUUAGUAUUUUUAAUCACUGUAUCCUAUAAUUCAUCUUUGGAGGCUUGCUUUUUGGCUCUUGAAUGUUUGUUGAUGACUGCUGCUAAGUCCUUUGAGCUGGAUUUUGUCGAAAGCUUGAUCUCCAAACCAAAAAAAAAAAAAAAAAAGAUUUUCAUUCGUUCAGAAUGCAAAAAACUAUACCAAGUAUGAGAAAAAGAAAAGGGAAUGGGAAUGGGAAUGGGUACGCAUAUCCUUAUUUGAUUACCGGAUUUACUUUAUCUGUUGCGGUGUGCCCACUUAAAUGGGACCCACAUGUGUGAAAGUAAGAAAAAAAUAGGAGCAGCCAGUUCAACAGUGAUGGCUUUGAAUUGCUACACAUGGACGGUGAGCAUGUUAGGCGGUAAACGCGUUAAUUACGCGUCUCUCAUUCCCUAUAAAUAGAGGCAACUGCAACUCACACAACACACAGCAGAAAUACGAAGGAAAAAUGUAGAGAGUUAGUUAACCAGUUUUAGGAAGGGUUUCCUAAAACUAGGGGAGAGAAAAAUAGUGAAGAUUAUUUUGGGGUGUUUUUGGGAAACACUUUGUGUGCUAUUAUUUUUAUAUUACUCUCUUUGGGUACCUACUAUUUUUAAUAGUGGAAGAAUGAUUCAGAGUUUGUUCCGUGGACGUAGCCCUAAACAGUUGAGGGUGAACCACGUAAAUUUCUGUGUGUCACAUUUCUAUUUUUCCGCUGCGUUAAUUUUCUCUUAAUUGGUUAAAAGGGCCUAAUAAUUGGUAUUAGAGCCUGAUUCUCAACAUUAUCGCCCUCUGGGUAAAACAGAAGUGUUGGGUAGUCAUCCACCUGCAAGAAUCAAUAAAUAACAAGGGUUAGCUUCUUAGCAUCAUCAAUUUGCAAAAUCAGUGAUCUUACAGUUACAAUGAAAGGAUCCAAAGUUUUCUUGUUAAUGGCAUUCUAGUAACUCUUUAAGUUGCUGGAGAAAGAAAAGAACUCCUUGAAUGUUGAAAUUGCAUGACAACCAUAACUAAUGAUUCACAAUAUUCAUCAGGUUGUAAGACACAUUUCAAGCUAAGUGGAAUCAAGAUGAUAAAUUUUUUCAGCAAACAAAUGAAAGAAAUCAAUAUGGUCAUCUGGACGCAACAUCAACUAGGAAACUUGUUUUAAUAGUUAAUGCUGUUGCCAUGCGUGUGAUGAAGGACUUAAAAUGCUUAUGACAUACCUGCAGUUUUGGAUGUUCAUUUGCAGAAGCAUCUAUCUUUCCAAUCACUAAAUUCUCCAAACCUUUGAAAUGCUUGGCCAAUUUCUGGACCUGCUUACUUGUAGUCUCACAAUUGAUGCACCAUGGUGUAUAUACCUGUUCUUAUAACACAAGGUAUUUCAUGAAGAAAGUUAAUAGAUUUCACUUCACAAUAUUAAUAUAAUUUUAUUGAAAAUAAUAUAAAUACAUAUGAUUUAUUUUAUAUAUUUAAUAUGGAUUUGUGAAUUAUAAAUUAGUAUUAGUUAGGUAAAUUGCUUCCAUUUUUGUAUGGUAACAAGGACAAAUUAGAAGCGAAACAAAAAUAAAAAAGGAUCCCCAUUUUCUUCUCAAAGCAUCGCAUUUCGUGUGACAAACGAAUGAUUGUUUUUAAUAUAAUAUUUGUUACAUUUAGAAUUAUACAUUUUUUAAACAAAAUCAUUAAAUUUGUCUAAAAUUUAUAAUAAAUUAUUCAAUAAAUAGACUAUAUUACUCUUAAUUUAAUAUUUAUUCUCUAAAAAACUUUAAAUUCAAGUAACAAUUAUUAGUUAUAUACAAUGAUAAAUAUGAAAAAAAAUUAUUACUUUUUAAAAUCACAAAUAUAAUAAGACAAAAUUUAAUAAAUAUUCUUUUCAGAAUAAAAGAAAUUCAAUAAUUGACAUACUAGAAAAGUUACAAUAUUUAGUAAUAAAUCAUCUUGCAUUACAUUCCACUCCACAAUGGGAAAAAGAGAAGGUGAAAGUCAAAAGUAAUAGUACAAAGCCAAAAGAGGCUCAUAGAGUUAUGGAGGUUGAAGAACUUCAUCUUCUUCAUACAUAUAUAUUUUGAGAUUUGACAGUUGCAAUUGCACGGAAUACUAUGGUUACGUAAUAAGAAUAAUUAUCUCUUUGAUUCGUAAUCAUGAGAUGUUAAUUUCAUUCUUCUUACAUUAUUGGGUUACCACCACAUCGGAUUUUGUUUUUUUUUUUUUUUUUUUUUUUUUUUUUUUUUUUUUUUUGUUUUAAAAAGAAACUUAUCAAAUUGUUGAAUAUAUAUAUAUAUAUAUGUUAUCUAGGCGGAGUGGCAAUAACAUAAAAAUGGAGAGUGAAUGUUAUUUUCAAACAAACGCGAAGAAAGAGACAGACACACAGAGUCCAAUUUAGAUAACCGGUACAGAGAAGGUACAACAAAUCCCACAGUCAAGACAGGUAGAUAAACAAGAACGAAGAAAUAGUAACAUAAUAUAAUUAAGAAAAAUUUGAGAGAGAGAGAGAGAGAGAGAGCAGUGAAUGAGGCGAGGUGGCACUAGCACCCAUUGCACUUCUGGACUGGUCAAGACAAGUACGAAGCUGGAGGUGAUAAGUGCACUCUUGUAAUAUAUAAAUGAAUCUCUGCUUUGUGGUUUCUUGAUAAUUGAUACACUUCUGGACUGGUCAAGACAAGUACGAAGCUGGAGGUGAUGAGUGCACUCUUGUAAUAUAUAAAUGAAUCUCUGCUUUGUGGUUUCUUGAUAAUUGAUAAGCGAGUCUUUAACCCAUUUCAGUGCUCAAAAUGAAAAACUACUUUAGGUGACGGCCGGGUCUCUUUCACUUUUCGAGUCUUGUUCACUUCUGGGUUUUACCAUAGAUUUUUAGAUACUUCAAUACUCAAGGAGUGACACAAAGGGCUAGAGAGAGAAAGAAAGGAGCUUUGAUGGCUGGUGUACGGUUACAGUGGUGGGGCUUGAAUUUCAGGUCUCUUGGAGCAGUUUUUAUUUGUUUUCUUGGUGUAGCAUCGAUAAUUGUUGUAGCAGAGACAAGAUUAAACCGAGAAGGUUUAGUUGCCAAUGAGAGUGAAGAGGUUGAAUCUGGUUUCAUGUUGAGAGUAAUCAAUUUCUUGUGGCAGAAAGGUCAAUUGGGUUAUACUCAUGUGUGGCCGGUAAGUCCAACUGAUUUUUCUUUUUUAUAUUGAUCGUUUGCUGAGUGCUUGCUUAAUUUCUGUUUGUCUCAUAAGAAAAUCAAAGAGAUGAAAAGAAAAGAAGAAGGGAAAAUUUAUCUCAAAUUCUUGAAUUUUCAAGAUUUGGGACUUGAGAGAAACUAGACUUUAGGCAAUAGGCCUAAUCGACAAUAUUUUGGAAAAUAAGGCCGAUCCACGACGGUAGGUAAGUGCCAUGUCCAUCCUUAUCUAUUCAGAGGUAAAGUAGCAUAAUUUUUUGUUGUGAAGAUGAGUUUAACAUUGUAUUUGGUCGGUUGAACCUUGAAACGCUGUUUUGCACUUGCUGAAGGACCUCGUUCCACCUUUUGUUUAUUGCUAAACAAAUUGUGGAAAUUGAUGAGUAUGAUUUGUGACACUGGAUUUACAGGACAUGAAAUUUGGCUGGAGAAUUGUGGUGGGUACAAUAAUUGGAUUCUUUGGAGCAGCAUUUGGGAGUGUUGGAGGUGUUGGUGGGGGCGGUAUUUUUGUUCCCAUGCUCACCUUGAUUAUUGGAUUUGAUGCAAAAUCAUCCACAGCAAUUUCAAAAUGUGAGAAAAUUCUACUUGUGUGCUAUAGCUAUCUAGUUGUAUGAGUUUUCUUCCUGAUGCAAGAUGCACAGGAGGUCAAAUGCAAACAAACUCAAGACACCAUAUAUCUCCAACUAGGUUCAGCAACUUAAUUAAGAGUUAAAAGUCGUCAUAUCAUUUUAAGUCCAUUCGUCAUAUCUUUUAAAGAUAAGGACUUCUAUAUCCUUUCAGCUAAAUAAAUAUCAUAAUGUCCCACUUCUAUACUCAUAACACCUGCACUACAUCUAAACAAACAACCAGUAAUGCUAAGGACAAUUUCUGCUACUUAAAUUUUAUUGUUCCAUCAAAAUAUCCUGAGACAAUUGCAUGAGCUUCUGUUUCUUUCGGUCAGUUAUGAUUACCGGUGCAGCAGCUUCAACAGUUUACUACAAUUUAAGGCUUAGGCAUCCUACACUUGAUAUGCCCAUCAUUGACUAUGACUUGGCACUCUUGUUUCAACCGGUGUUGGUGCUUGGAAUCAGCAUUGGUGUUAUAUUAAAUGUGAUUUUGGCUGACUGGAUGAUCACAGUUCUGCUAAUUAUUCUCUUCAUAGGUAACAAUUUUUUUAUUUUGUAAUUUUGCCAUAUAGCUUUUGGUUUUUGAUAGGCUGUAUUGUUUUGCAGGGACAUCAACCAAGGCUUUCUUAAAAGGUGUUGAAACAUGGAAAAAGGAAACCAUAAUUAAAAAGGUAGUUAAAUAACUGUCUUUCAUUUAAGGUGAAAUAAGCACAUUCUCAUUCAGGUUAAUUUCUUUGAACCCAUUGUCUCAACUUGUUUCUGAUUUUUCAGGAGGCUGCUAGACGUUUGUUAUCAAAUGGUAAGUUGUUAAAUUGGUACUUUCUUUUUUGCCUAUGCUUUUGGGAUCUUUAAUAUCUUUCUUUCAGAUUAAUUUGCUCUUUAUUCAGGUGAUGAUAAUGAUGAAGUGGAAUACAAGCUUCUUGCUGGAGGCUCGAGCAAUGGUGCAGGACCAGAAUCGAAGGAGAAAAAAGAAGAGGCGAGUAUGUCAAUAUGGUCUGUGAGCCUUACAGUGGAUCAUGGGUUUCUGAACUGGCUUGUAACCAUUUCAGGUUUCUCUUUUUGAGAAUGUUCAAUGGAGGGAACUCGGAGUUCUCUUUGCUGUCUGGGUGAUUAUCCUUGCAUUGCAGAUCUCCAAGGUCUUAUAAGUCUAUGCCCUGAAUAUUUUAAAACAUGCUUUGAAGUCUCAAUUGAUAACUAAUUGACCAGACUAAUCUUGAAAUCUUUUCUUGUUGGCUUCGCAGAAUUAUACAUCAACUUGCUCAGCAGCAUACUGGGUUCUCAACAUAUUGCAGGUACCUUAGCUAUGAUAAUCUCAGAAUAAAUUAUAUUGUUCUCCAUUUAAUUUUUAUUUCCAUAAUGUUAAAUCACCUGCAAUUGAGAGUUUGGGACAAGACACUGUCAUGGGGAGCUAUGAGCUUGAUAAAAUUUUGGCGCUUCAAACUUAUUCUUUGUUUUCUUGAUUUUCAGUUUCCAGUUGCUCUAGGAGUUAGUGUCUAUCAGGCAGUUAACUUGUACAAAGGACGGAGGAAGAUUAAAUCCAAGGGAGAGGCCGGCACAAAUUUAAAAGUACACCAGUUGGUUCUUUAUUGCUGCUGUGGAGUAUUGGCUGGUGUAGUUGGUGGGUUGCUUGGUCUUGGUGGAGGAUUCAUUUUGGGGCCACUUUUUCUGGAAUUGGGAGUCCCUGCACAGGUAAAUUUCAUGCUUGAGGGUUUUAUUCUUUCAUGACCAUUAAUUUGGUGUUAGAUGGUCAACUUUUAUGGAUCGACCUUAUGACAGUCAUUUUGGAUCAAAAGAAACAGAUUGUCUUUAUUUAAAAGAAAGAGAGCUCAUGUCAAUGUUGAAAUUGUUAUGUUAUGGACUUACAAUAUUGACAACAAUUAUCCAUCUACAUAUUAAUUCUAUAAACCUUCAAGUUCAUGACUGACCUCAUUUCAUGAGAGAUUUCAUGCAGGUUUCAAGUGCCACAGCCACAUUUGCCAUGACAUUUUCUGCUUCCAUGUCAGUCAUCGAGUACUAUCUCUUAAAACGUUUUCCCGUUCCUUAUGGUGAGGUUACCACCACAAUGUUAAAUUAUGACUUUUAUCAGCAGAGAAACAUCAUUCAGAAUUCAUUUCUAUAUAUAAUUAUUAUUUUCAAAAUUUUUUAUGCAGCUUUAUACUUUGUUUCUGUGUCCACCGUCGCGGCCUUUGUAGGGCAGCACGUUGUAAGAAGGCUUAUCAGUAUAUUAGGGAGAGCAUCUAUAAUUAUCUUCAUUUUGGCAUUCACAAUAUUUGUGAGUGCAAUAUCCCUAGGUAUGUAAAAUCUUGAAUUGCAGGUUUUUUUUUUUUCCAAAUAAACUGAAACUCUCACAGUGAGAUUCAUAUUCAUGUUACUGAUUAGGAAAUGGAGUUCAUUUUUUCAUUCAUUUCUUAUUACUAACAUUUUCUUUUUUCUUCAAAAACAGGUGGAGUUGGCAUAGCAAAUAUGGUAGAGAAGAUUGAGAAUCAUCAGUACAUGGGAUUUGAGAACCUCUGUACCUAUGAAUCCUAGGCUUGCUUUUAUUUAACCAUUAUUUUUCUUUACAUUCAAAUUUCUCAUAUAGCAAUUUGUGAAUCCCAGGAUGUUGGCCAAUCAAUGCAAACUAUCCUGGUGGGAAUAAUGGUUAGCUUGUGCCAAAUUUUU
Molecule: long non-coding RNA, 8107 nt
Filed under: Jatropha curcas
Lineage: Eukaryota; Viridiplantae; Streptophyta; Magnoliopsida; Malpighiales; Euphorbiaceae
Description: long non-coding RNA (JCUR_LNC001391)
Source: RNAcentral